Non-coding RNA from Pelobates cultripes (western spadefoot toad), 338 nucleotides. Lineage: Eukaryota; Metazoa; Chordata; Amphibia; Anura; Pelobatidae. The record is from the annotation of a GenBank genome assembly.
CCUACAGGCAUGGCAAAAGCCACACUUCUCCUGGCUCUGUAAAAUAAACAUCCUCAAAAUGAGCACACUGCCAAAAAUACUGUACCUAUUUCAAACCCUACCUAUAGCCAUACCCAAAGCAUUCUUUGCCAAGCUGCGGAGUCUCUUUACCUCAUUCAUCUGGGCGCACAAGCAACCCAGGCUCUCAUACGAAGUGCUUACCAGACACAAGUCCUGUGGAGGCCUGGGGUUGCCCCACAUGGAAAAAUACUACAAGGCCACGAUGCUAACAAGAGUAUAUGAGUGGUCCUCGACAAUGACACACACCCCACGAUACCCCCAACACUCAAGACAUGGGA